UGGGGAAUAUUGCACAAUGGGCGCAAGCCUGAUGCAGCCAUGCCGCGUGUAUGAAGAAGGCCUUCGGGUUGUAAAGUACUUUCAGUCGGGAGGAAGGUGGUAAGGUUAAUAACCUUAUCAAUUGACGUUACCGACAGAAGAAGCACCGGCUAACUCCGUGCCAGCAGCCGCGGUAAUACGGAGGGUGCAAGCGUUAAGCGGAAUUACUGGGCGUAAAGCGCACGCAGGCGGUUGAUUGAGUCAGAUGUGAAAUCCCCGGGCUUAACCCGGGAAUUGCAUCUGGUACUGGUCAGCUAGAGUCUUGUAGAGGGGGGUAGAAUUCCAUGUGUAGCGGUGAAAUGCGUAGAGAUGUGGGGGAAUACCGGUGGCGAAGGCGGCCCCCUGGACGAAGACUGACGCUCAGGUGCGAAAGCGUGGGGAGCAAACAGG
This 429-nucleotide ribosomal RNA is filed under the name Chloroflexota bacterium. Its description in RNAcentral is "Chloroflexi bacterium partial 16S ribosomal RNA". It matches the Rfam family "Bacterial small subunit ribosomal RNA", at positions 355 to 776 of the family's 1533-position model. The record is from RNAcentral. Lineage: Bacteria; Bacillati; Chloroflexota.